Molecule: transfer RNA, 72 nt
Filed under: Stegodyphus mimosarum
Lineage: Eukaryota; Metazoa; Arthropoda; Arachnida; Araneae; Eresidae
Rfam family: tRNA
About the family: Transfer RNA (tRNA) molecules are approximately 80 nucleotides in length.
Source: Rfam by way of RNAcentral
GCCUUCGUAAUGUAGUGGUCAGCAUGCUGGGCGCGUAUUCCAGUGGUCGUGGUUCGAGUCCCGGUGAAGGCG